Molecule: ribosomal RNA, 300 nt
Filed under: uncultured Lactobacillus sp.
Lineage: Bacteria; Bacillati; Bacillota; Bacilli; Lactobacillales; Lactobacillaceae
Description: bacterial SSU rRNA
Rfam family: Bacterial small subunit ribosomal RNA
Source: RNAcentral
GCCAAUGCCGGGCAGGGAGGCGGGGGAAUACGUGGGGUGCGAGGGUUGUCCGGAAGGAUUGGGCGUAAAGGGCUCGGAGGCGGUUGGUCGGGGCGGGAGUGAAAACCUCAGGCGUAACAUGUGGCGUGCUUUCGAUACGGGCAGACUUGAGGCAUGCAGGGGAGAACGGAAUUCCUGGUGUAGCGGUGAAAUGCGCAGAUAUCAGGAGGAACACCGGUGGCGAAGGCGGUUCUCUGGGCAUGUUCUGACGCUGAGGAGCGAAAGUGUGGGGAGCGAACAGGAUUGGAUACCCGAGUAGUC